RNAcentral lists this ribosomal RNA (495 nucleotides) under uncultured bacterium. Its description in RNAcentral is "partial 16S ribosomal RNA". It matches the Rfam family "Bacterial small subunit ribosomal RNA", at positions 28 to 507 of the family's 1533-position model. The record is from RNAcentral.
GACGAACGCUGGCGGCGUGCCUAAUACAUGCAAGUAGAACGCUGAAGGAGGAGCUUGCUUCUCUGGAUGAGUUGCGAACGGGUGAGUAACGCGUAGGUAACCUGCCUGGUAGCGGGGGAUAACUAUUGGAAACGAUAGCUAAUACCGCAUAAGAGUAGAUGUUGCAUGACAUUUGCUUAAAAGGUGCAAUUGCAUCACUACCAGAUGGACCUGCGUUGUAUUAGCUAGUUGGUGGGGUAACGGCUCACCAAGGCGACGAUACAUAGCCGACCUGAGAGGGUGAUCGGCCACACUGGGACUGAGACACGGCCCAGACUCCUACGGGAGGCAGCAGUAGGGAAUCUUCGGCAAUGGACGGAAGUCUGACCGAGCAACGCCGCGUGAGUGAAGAAGGUUUUCGGAUCGUAUAGCUCUGUUGUAAGAGAAGAACGAGUGUGAGAGUGGAAAGUUCACACUGUGACGGUAUCUUACCAGAAAGGGACGGCUAACUACGUG